AUACGGAGGGGACUAGCGUUGUUCGGAAUAACUGGGCGUAAAGCGCACGUAGGCGGAAUGUUAAGUUAGAGGUGAAAUCCCAGGGCUCAACCCUGGAACGGCCUUUAAUACUGGCAAUCUAGAGACCGCGAGAGGUGAGUGGAAUUCCGAGUGUAGAGGUGAAAUUCGUAGAUAUUCGGAGGAACACCAGUGGCGGAGGCGGCUCACUGGCUCGGUACUGACGCUGAGGUGCGAAAGCGUGGGGAGCAAACAGGAUUAGAAACCCCUGUAGUCC
This 274-nucleotide ribosomal RNA is filed under the name uncultured bacterium. RNAcentral describes it as "partial 16S ribosomal RNA". It matches the Rfam family "Bacterial small subunit ribosomal RNA", at positions 523 to 796 of the family's 1533-position model. The record is from RNAcentral.